GCUUAAUAUUUGGUACCUAUUAUUCAUUCAACAAAUACUUAUGUACCAAACACCAAAAAGCAACGGAAGUUUCCCCAAGUCAGGUCAAUCUCAAAAAGUGAGAACAGUUUACAAUCCACCUCUUGUGGCCCUCUUAGCUCUCGGGGACUUUAGGUAUAUAUUUCUCCAAAAGACAUCAGGGAACACCAAGGCAGCUCUGCCUUAACUGUUUCUUAACUGUGCUAUUUGUUUCCCGGUACCCCUGUGUUCUUUGCCAGGACUGCCCAGACAAAAAUAUGACCCCCAAAACAACUCUAUGACUUUUUUCUUCCAUUAAAUUACUUAAUGAGUAAGAAGAAAAGGUUUUCAUGUUUUGGGUAUGCAGGGAGUAAGAUGUGGUUCCUGAUCUCAAGGAACUCUGUAGUCUGAAUGGGAACUUAGUGUUUGGCAUGGAAGUUCAGCUGCUAGACAAUGGUUAAGAAAGAGCUUCCUAGGAACAAGUGGGAAAACUUGAACUGAGUCAUGUCAAAUAAAACAAUCAGGUAAACAAGUCAAGGAGAUAUGAGGACUUUCCAGGCUGAUGAGAGUCAUGAGAAUGUUUGAAGUAAUGACAGCCUAGGGU
Molecule: long non-coding RNA, 601 nt
Filed under: Marmota monax (woodchuck)
Lineage: Eukaryota; Metazoa; Chordata; Mammalia; Rodentia; Sciuridae
Source: RNAcentral